Molecule: long non-coding RNA, 4139 nt
Organism: Cuculus canorus (common cuckoo)
Lineage: Eukaryota; Metazoa; Chordata; Aves; Cuculiformes; Cuculidae
Exons: 3
Source: RefSeq, a predicted model, not a curated record
CAGCUCAGGGACAUGAACAUACCUAGCAGCCCUGGAGGCACCCAGGGUUUACCGCAUCUAUGCUUAUGCUCAGACACAAUAUAAAGGUAAUAUAGGAGAUAAACUAGCGGUGCUAUUUUAACAUAAUCUGGAUAAUACUGGAGCUACUCUGCACUGGGGAGCAUCUGCUGAGCCUGGAAAAUCGGUAUGGUGAGUCUGAGCAGACAUCGCAGACAGCCACCAUGUUUGGGAGCCUCACACAAUCACCCCUCAAACCACAACAGGAAGUUAAAUCUUCAGAGAAAAACACUGGAGGACCUCACGGUGUUUUGGCAGGGGAAGGAGUGCCCAUUUGCUGCAGCUCCAGAAGGGUCACAGGGAGGAGGAAGAGCUGCCAGCUGCCUCGGGUCCUGUGAUGGAGCCCAAAACAGGAACAGGAUGGAUCCGAAAAAUGAAAACUCCACUCCUUGCAAAGAGAUCAUGACUUCUCCCGACAAGUGAACGUUUAGUGUGUCCUUUUACUUACAUAGCUUUCUGGGAUCUGCAGCUUCAUGGUCAUUUCCAGGUGCCACUAUUACUGAGGAAGUAUAUUAAAAUAUCGUGGAUCUAGCCAGAAUACCUGGGUUUGCUUAUUUUUAUUAUAUGCAUAGUCAACAGAAAGGAGUAUUUUUAGAGUAUUAGGUGAUGUGCUUUAUAAUUAACCGCUAGUUUGAAGCCUGAAGAUGAUCCACUAUUUUGUCUCAUAAAGAAAACGUGGAUAAUGCCACUGCUGUUGCCUUCACGCUCCCUGAAAAUUCGUUCCUUCCUAACUCUCUGGAAAGCAUUUGGGUUUUAUGUUAAAAGAACAACAAAACUCAAAUAACGACAAUUCUCCAGUUUUUGCCAACUGAAAAGCACAAUAGAAGUCCCAUUCAUAGUGCAAAUUUUCAAGAAGGAAGGAAAAUGCUGAAGAAAGCUGACCAGGAUGAAGGAACUAAAAAAGAAAGAAUUUCUUUAGUCCAAAACCCACCAAGUGUCGAUUAAAAAAAAAUCCAAGAUGGUCCUAAUUUUUGACACAGGAUGCGUUUAGCCUUGCCACAUUUACUAGCAAGUCAAACCAUGCUUCACCACUGUGAAAAUUUACUUAAACAGAAAAUACUUUCAAUGAGAAAGCUGUGCUUAUUUUCACAAGUACUCUAUCUUCAUUAUAAUAUGUUAAUGUUAUUCUUGCCACAGUUCUACGGAUUUUGAUGGAGCUACCUCUAAAACAUAUUAACGUUCAUAAUUUGUGUUGUGCAGAAAACCAUGAGACUUGAUUCUGUAUAUUUUUAUGAGUGUUAUAUAUUCUGUAUAUUUUUGUUAUGAAGUGUCUCAAUUUCCAUUAACAAAGAGUGUGCCCUAAUUCCCAUUAACACCACUGAAGCUGUUCAUUAAGAUGACUAAAGUUAGAAAGUUCUUAAAUCUUGGCCCAUAGUCUUUGAAUAAAACACAGAGCCAAAGCCCAGGAGAUGUUCAGUGAAAGUUUAAAAUUCACAGUAAGGCCCUAAUUCUCCACUGCUGUAUGUCUCCUGCGGUCAUAUGCAGCCGGGUACUAUCCUCCUAAAAUGCUAGCAGGCAAGAAUUUUGCACAUGUGUAGAAAAUCAAGAUCUGGCUUUUGCAGAAGAUACAUCCUGAGUAUCAGACAAAAUGCUGCAGUUACCAAGAGCCUUUGACAUAAUGACUUUAAAACGUUAGCAAGCAAUUACUAUUUCCAUUUUACUGACAGGGGACUAGAAUAGAGAGACAAAGCAAGCUAGGCUAGGUGGAAAUGCUCGGGAAAAUUAAUAGAGUUAAUUUUUAAAGAGCAUUAGUUAAACCACAAACAUUUCUGUAUAGGCAUCUAUUCAAAAACUAAAGCUGCUUUUAUUCUAGUCAGUGCUAUUUUAUUUUGAAAGUGAAUUAAUUUAAAUCAAAUUGCAGCCAGUUCUGUUGUGAAUAAAAGCAUGCAAAUUGAGGUUCAAUACAGUUCACAGACACUUUUAAUUUACACCUUUUGUUAAUUUAACUAAUUGUCCUGAGUGCCUGAGCUCACAUAGGAAGUGUGCCAAGGUGCAAAGAGUUAAGGAUGAGGCUCUUCACCUGCAGGGUUUGUCCUCUCCAGCAGCCCUUCCUUAGGGUGCUAUACAAUCAUCCUCCUUAUCACCAGAUGGCACAGUUCUCAGUCUUUGAUUCUGUGGACGCCAGAGGACGUGUUCCUGUCUUUCCCUGUCACCUGCAACUUAGUGACAGCUGUCAAGGAGAGCAUUUCAUGCAUUUAAUGGGAAGACUGGGCAAACAUGCAGCACCUAUAGACUAGGGGCUGGGAAGAAGUACUCGACCCAGGAGAGUGCACUCAUUGACUUCUGUAAGCACCAAAAGCAGAGAAGUAGAGUGAUACAUCACAGCGAACCUGGAGUUCUGUUUUCAUGGUCAGCCUAAAAACAUGAUAGUCAGCUAUAUUACCUCACCAAGAUCAGACUUGCAGAGGUGUAACUCAAUGACAAGCUUUAGAAAAUGUCACUGAGAAAUAUCUAUAAAUACCCAAUGCAUCUUCUUCCUUCCUACCUACUUUUUAAAAUUCUUAUUCACCUUGAAAUCAUAAUUUCUUAUAGCAAAUGACUAUGCAGUUCUUAUACUUCCCUGAAGUAAGCUGAAGUGACCUACUGGUGUGAUCGCAUCCAUCUCAGGGCAGCACAAUUCUAUCAGUCUCUAUGUGGUUAUCGCAGUACCACAGCAACCUAGCAAUCCCUAGACUGCCCCUACUUUGACCUACUGGCUAAAGUCCUACAGCCCAGAUAAUAGUCAAAUACUCCUCCACACGCAAAAAAAUGUGUGGAAUGCUGUGCAUCCACUUCCACCCGUGUGCAGCCACUGUCUAGGCAAAGCUACACAUUUUACGGGCUAUCCACCUUUUUUAAGCAUUACUUCCUUCAGCUUCAUAACACAUGGUUUCCUCAGCUCUCUUUCUUCAGUCUGUCAAUUUAGCCAGAAAUCAUCUUAACCUUUUAGUUAUAAUCACAUCAGAGGGAAAAAAAAAAAAAAUCAAGAAGGGUUUUUCUCUCAUUUUUCAGCUUUUCCUGGCAGUUAAUGCUGAGUCCAUCAAGGAAAAAAAAAAACCACCCCCUCAUUGUGUGUAGUCCAUGAAUGCAGAUUGUCUUACUUUACUAUUCUUGGAGCUUUCUAAUCAUAGAAUCACAGAACCAUAGAAUGGUUUGGGUUGAAAGGGAUCUUAAAGGUCAUCCAGCUCCAAUCCCCCUGUGAUGGGCAAGGACACGUCCCACUAGAUCAGGCUGCCCAAGGCCCCAUCCAACCUGGCCUUGAACAUAGGAGAAAGUAACUUAAGAAGUAACAGAAUGGUUAUUCCUAAGAAGCUCCUUACUGGGUGAAGGAAAUGGGAUGCAAACUUUUGUUUAAAAGGGAGAGGGUAAAGCGUAAAAAAAAAAACAUGCUGCAAGACUAAAAGUUUGGGUGUUUUCUAUGUCUAGCAGAGAAACUCUUGAUCAUCUUGAUUCUUUAGUCCCCUUGGCGAGAGCUCCUGGAUAAAACUUCAGCGCCUUCAGGAAAGCAUGAUCAUUUUAUAAAAUGCUCUUUCGAACUCCUAACUGUUUAAUCCUACACGUCCCACGGCUACGUAAAAGGGGCAAUCCCUAAAUCUCAGGGAAACGACGGAUUCAUUUUCAGGGCAGGGGUGUCAGAAGGGCUCUACAGACGGAGAGAGAACUGUCCUGCUGCCCUUAUGUCGCAAGGCAGCUCUCAAAACUCUCGCCCGGUUCGGCGGCUGCCGGGGACGCCGCUGCCCCCGUCCCGGGGGGCUCAGCCGCGACGAGGUUUUAUUCGCACCACGUUUUUCAAAAGGGGGGGGGGGAAACACCCCAAAAAGAACUCAGAACCGAGGCAGGGAAAGGGACGAAGCCGCCUGCGGGAUACAGGGAGCGCCGGCGGGUGGUUUUGCUUCGGAGGGAACGGAGAAAAGAUGCGUUUCUCUGGAGUUCAGGUGAAGGUCUGUCAACGCUCCUCGCUGAGAGCGGAGCGAGUCACUCCCCUGCGAGAGAGACUGUACCGGGGCAGGAGAGAGAGACGCGCGAGUCUCAGGACCUAUUUCCACCAGGGAUCUCACCGAGCAAGAGGUGGGGGACACGGCAGGCGCGGAGCUCACCCUGCC